AUGGCGAUUCGCCGGCAGCGCCGCUCCUUCCCGCUCGUCCCCUUCCUCGUCUCCCUCCUCGCCGUCGCCGCCUAUGGCCGCCUCAUCUCCGACGGCAUGCCGGCCACCCCGUCCUCCUCCGUCCUCGCGUCUCCGCUGUCCUCGGCCGCCAUCCGCCUCAACUCCUCCUCGCCGGCCACCGCCGCGGCCGAGGAGUGCGAGCAGACGUACGGCUUCCUCCCGUGCACCACCACCGUGUUCGGGAACAUGUUCCUGGUGCUCACCUACGGGUUCCUCAUGUUCAAGGCGGCCACGUUCCUGUCGGCCGGCAGUGAGCUGCUGCUGGAGAUCAUGGGCCCUGGCCUCGUCGGCGGCCUCCUCCUCCCCAUCCUCGGCGCCCUCCCCGACGCGCUCCUCGUGCUCGUAUCUGGUCUCUCUGGGACUAAAGAGACCGCACAAAGUCAGGUCCUCAUUGGGAUGGGGCUGCUUGCUGGUUCGACCGUCUUUCUUCUCACCCUGCUUUGGGGAACUUGUGUUGUUGUUGGCAAGUGUGAUGUUGGGGAAGACGGUGUUGCUAUUGAUUCAACUGACACUAAGGGCUUCAGCUUGAGUGGCUCUGGCAUUACAACUGAUGUGCAGACCAGCUAUGCAGCACGAAUCAUGGCCAUUUCUGUUAUUCCCUUUGUCAUUGCUCAGUUCCCGAAAAUGUUGUAUACUCACCAUGGGGAGCGCCUGGCCAUCUUGCUGGCCCUAAUUGCAUCGUUCUCACUUGUACUCGCCUACUGCCUGUAUCAGGUUUUCCAGCCUUGGGUUCAGAAGAGGAAGCUCGCAUACGCAAAGCACAAGCAUGUGAUCUCUGGGAUCCUACAGCAUGCCCAAAAGCAAGCACUGGGCCGGAUGCUUAACGAUGACGGCUCACCUAAUGAAAACGUCAUAAGAAAGCUGUUCCACAAGAUUGACAAUGAUGACAGCCGUAACCUGUCACGAGCAGAGCUACAUGCGCUUAUUAUCGGGAUCAACUUUGAUGAGAUUGACUUUGACAAGAAUGAUGCAGUCGAUAAGAUCAUGGACGACUUUGAUACUUCAGGCAAUGACACUGUGGAGGAGGAUGAGUUUGUCGCGGGAAUGAAAACAUGGCUUAAUGAGGCGAAGCAAAAAGUGGCGGCUAGUGGUGCCUACUCUAAUAAGUUUGUCAACGACUACCACGCUAGAACCAGGGAGGAGCAUGACCAGUUGGUCGACAGAUCUGACGAGGCAGUGGAGAGCGUCGAGAACCCUGGCUGGUGCAUUGCCAAAGCCGUGGGGUACCUGAUUCUCGGUGCUACCAUUUGUGCCGCAUUUGCAGACCCGCUCGUUGAUGCUGUCCACAACUUCUCUAACGCCACACACAUCCCGUCCUUCUUUGUCUCGUUCAUCGGCCUCCCGCUGGCAACCAAUUCCAGCGAGGCUGUCUCGGCCAUCAUCUUCGCCAGCAGGAAGAAGCAGAGGACUUGCUCCCUUACUUUCUCGGAGGUGUACGGCGGUGUGACCAUGAACAACACACUGUGCCUGGGCGUGUUCUUAGCGCUCAUCUACUUCAGGGAGCUGACGUGGGACUUCUCCUCGGAGGUGCUCGUCAUCCUGCUCGUCUGUGUCAUCAUGGGCCUCUUCACAAGCUUCCGGACCAGCUUCCCGCUCUGGACCUGCCUGGUGGCGUACCUGCUGUACCCUCUGACACUCGCCGUCGUCUACGUCCUUGACUUCGUCUUCGGCUGGUCAUAG
RNAcentral lists this ribosomal RNA (1740 nucleotides) under Triticum aestivum (bread wheat). RNAcentral's name for it is "partial small subunit ribosomal RNA". Lineage: Eukaryota; Viridiplantae; Streptophyta; Magnoliopsida; Poales; Poaceae. The record is from RNAcentral.